Molecule: non-coding RNA, 30 nt
Filed under: Mus musculus (house mouse)
Lineage: Eukaryota; Metazoa; Chordata; Mammalia; Rodentia; Muridae
Source: RNAcentral
UCAUAAUGUCUCCAUAUUCUGUGUGCAGGC